Small nucleolar RNA from Tachyglossus aculeatus (Australian echidna), 138 nucleotides. Lineage: Eukaryota; Metazoa; Chordata; Mammalia; Monotremata; Tachyglossidae. The record is from RefSeq and is a predicted model, not a curated record.
CCCCUCUCAGGGUUGCACCUGGAGAGUUUCCAGUAUGCAGCCAGUCUCAUCUAUGGGAGGGAGAGUCAAGCAGAGGCCUACCCAUUCUUUUCCUAGCUUGGACAGUGGCUAGUGAGUGGAAGGCAAUCUGCUACAAUG